GAUGAACGCUGGCGGCGUGCCUAAUACAUGCAAGUCGAGCGAACGGACGAGAAGCUUGCUUCUCUGAUGUUAGCGGCGGACGGGUGAGUAACACGUGGAUAACCUACCUAUAAGACUGGGAUAACUUCGGGAAACCGGAGCUAAUACCGGAUAAUAUUUUGAACCGCAUGGUUCAAAAGUGAAAGACGGUCUUGCUGUCACUUCUAGAUGGAUCCGCGCUGCAUUAGCUAGUUGGUAAGGUAACGGCUUACCAAGGCAACGAUGCAUAGCCGACCGGAGAGAGUGAUAGGCCACAUUGGAACUGAGACGCGGUCCAGACUCCUACGGGAGGCAGCAGUAGGGAAUCCUCCGCAAUGGGCGAAAGCCUGACGGAGCAACGCCGCGUGAGUGAUGAAGGUCUUCGGAUCGUAAAACUCUGUUAUUAGGGAAGAACAUAUGUGUAAGUAACUGUGCACAUCUUGACGGUACCUAAUCAGAAAGCCACGGCUAACUACGUG
RNAcentral lists this ribosomal RNA (497 nucleotides) under uncultured bacterium. Its description in RNAcentral is "partial 16S ribosomal RNA". It matches the Rfam family "Bacterial small subunit ribosomal RNA", at positions 28 to 507 of the family's 1533-position model. The record is from RNAcentral.